CGCCGAUUUAAAUGUUUUAUGGAUUUUCUAGUUUUCUCGAUAAUAUUUGCAUUUUCCUAGAGAUAAAUAUAUUUUUGAAGCAUCCAGAGAUGCUUUCAUGAGCUCUAAAUAUUUUAUUUUGGUUUGAUAUAUCGCAUCUAUCUUUAGUUUUUUUUAUCAUUUUUAAAGUAUUAGAGAUAUUUUAUGUGUUUUUUUUUACCUUAUCAAGUUUUUACCAAUAUUUAUCAAAAAAAGAUGAAUCCACCUCAAAAACCAAUCCAAACCAACUAGGGAUGUAGUCUGAAUAAUUUGGAGAGUUCAAAGGAUAAAUAUCUAGUUUUCAAGUUUGAUGAGGAAAGUCAAACUACGACAAUAUUUAUGGAAGGUACUCCUUCCAUCCUAAAUUAUAAGC
This 391-nucleotide long non-coding RNA is filed under the name Sorghum bicolor (sorghum). Its description in RNAcentral is "long non-coding RNA (SBIC_LNC005592)". The record is from RNAcentral. Lineage: Eukaryota; Viridiplantae; Streptophyta; Magnoliopsida; Poales; Poaceae.